Molecule: ribosomal RNA, 484 nt
Filed under: uncultured bacterium
Lineage: Bacteria
Description: partial 16S ribosomal RNA
Rfam family: Bacterial small subunit ribosomal RNA
Source: RNAcentral
AUUGAACGCUGGCGGCAUGCCUUACACAUGCAAGUCGAACGGCAGCGCGGGAGCAAUCCUGGCGGCGAGUGGCGAACGGGUGAGUAAUACAUCGGAACGUUCCCAAUCGUGGGGGAUAACGCAGCGAAAGCUGUGCUAAUACCGCAUACGAUCUACGGAUGAAAGCAGGGGAUCGCAAGACCUUGCGCGGAUGGAGCGUCCGAUGGCAGAUUAGGUAGUUGGUGAGGUAAAGGCUCACCAAGCCUUCGAUCUGUAGCUGGUCUGAGAGGACGACAAGCCACACUGGGACUGAGACACGGCCCAGACUCCUACGGGAGGCAGCAGUGGGGAAUUUUGGACAAUGGGCGAAAGCCUGAUCCAGCCAUGCCGCGUGCAGGAUGAAGGCCUUCGGGUUGUAAACUGCUUUUGUACGGAACGAAACGGUCUUUUCUAAUAAAGAAGGCUAAUGACGGUACCGUAAGAAUAAGCACCGGCUAACUACGUG